Molecule: long non-coding RNA, 639 nt
Organism: Lucilia cuprina (Australian sheep blowfly)
Lineage: Eukaryota; Metazoa; Arthropoda; Insecta; Diptera; Calliphoridae
Exons: 4
Source: RefSeq, a predicted model, not a curated record
ACAACUGAGAAAAAGAAACAAACUGCAUAGAAAAAUAACAAAACAAAAUUGAAAGAAAUAACAGAAAAAAAUAAGAAAGAAACAACUCUCCCACAGUCAAUUUGUGUAUCAAAUUCAAUGUUAUUUUGUUUACAGCAUUAAUAUAAAUAUUUUUAGUUUUAGCUGUGAUGCGAACAAAUGUUGAACAUAUUAAAAAAAUACCCUACAUUGACCCUACAUACAAAUGCAGAGGUUUCUAAUGUACAAAAUUGAUUUCUAAUUUUAAAGGCUGAUCACGUAAAUCAAGUGCAAUUAAAACUGAGCUAAAUAAGACAAUUUAAAUGUGUGGCAUGUUUGAUUAUAAAUUUAUAUUAAAUUAUUUUCGGGAUUGGUGAUAAUAAAUGAUAUUUCAAAUACUGGGAAAUAUUGUCAUACAACAAGUGGCGGAUUUAACAAAAUGUAAACUACUGCAGAUGAAAAAAACUGAUAAACAGUUCUAAAACACAAGCUAUGAAGGAAGUCUUACGGAUUUAUCAUUAAGCAUAAACAAAUAGCUUAUAUUGUCUCGACAGUAAAGCUACAUUUAUAAUUUAAAUUAAUUAAAACUACUUAAGUGACAUGUCUAAAAUUCAUUUAAUAACAACAUCUGUAACAUUAAUA